AUUUGAAAGCUGGCCUUCGGGUCCGCAUUGUAAUUUGUAGAGGAUGCUUUGGGUGAAACGCCAGUCUAAGUUCCUUGGAACAGGACGUCAUAGAGGGUGAGAAUCCCGUAUGUGACUGGAAAUGUUAACCUAUGUAAAGCUCCUUCGACGAGUCGAGUUGUUUGGGAAUGCAGCUCUAAAUGGGAGGUAAAUUUCUUCUAAAGCUAAAUAUUGGCGAGAGACCGAUAGCGCACAAGUAGAGUGAUCGAAAGAUGAAAAGCACUUUGGAAAGAGAGUUAAAAAGCACGUGAAAUUGUUGAAAGGGAAGCGCUUGCAAUCAGACUUGUUUAAACUGUUCGGCCGGUCUUCUGACCGGUUUACUCAGUUUGGACAGGCCAGCAUCAGUUUCGGCGGCCGGAUAAAGGCUCUGGGAAUGUGGCCUUCACUUCGGUGAAGGUGUUAUAGCCCAGGGUGUAAUACGGCCAGCCGGGACUGAGGUCCGCGCUUCGGCUAGGAUGCUGGCGUAAUGGUUGUAAGCGACCCGUCUUGAACCCCCG
Molecule: ribosomal RNA, 536 nt
Filed under: Aureobasidium pullulans
Lineage: Eukaryota; Fungi; Ascomycota; Dothideomycetes; Dothideales; Saccotheciaceae
Description: LSU rRNA
Rfam family: Eukaryotic large subunit ribosomal RNA
Source: RNAcentral